Molecule: ribosomal RNA, 534 nt
Filed under: uncultured bacterium
Lineage: Bacteria
Description: bacterial SSU rRNA
Rfam family: Bacterial small subunit ribosomal RNA
Source: RNAcentral
UUGGCCUUGACAUACUAAGAACUUUCCAGAGAUGGAUUGGUGCCUUUCGGGAACUUAGAUACAGGUGCUGCAUGGCUGUCGUCAGCUCGUGUCGUGAGAUGUUGGGUUAAGUCCGCAACGAGCGCAACCUUUUCCUUAUUUGCCAGCGGGUCAUGCCGGGAACUUUAAGGAUACUGCCAGUGACAAACUGGAGGAAGGCGGGGACGACGUCAAGUCAUCGUGGCCCUUACGGCCAGGGCUACACACGUGCUACAAUGGUCGGUACAAAGGGUUGCUACCUCGCGAGAGGAUGCUAAUCUCAAAAAGCCGAUCGUAGUCCGGAUCGCAGUCUGCAACUCGACUGCGUGAAGUCGGAAUCGCUAGUAAUCGCGGAUCAGAAUGCCGCGGUGAAUACGUUCCCGGGCCUUGUACACACCGCCCGUCACACCAUGGGAGUUUGUUGCACCAGAAGUAGGUAGUCUAACCGCAAGGAGGACGCUUACCACGGUGUGGCCGAUGACUGGGGUGAAGUCGUAACAAGGUAAGCGUAGAUGA